This is a long non-coding RNA of Saccostrea cuccullata (small rock oyster), 1330 nucleotides long. RefSeq lists it as uncharacterized. The transcript has 3 exons. The record is from RefSeq and is a predicted model, not a curated record. NCBI's taxonomy places the organism in Eukaryota, Metazoa, Mollusca, Bivalvia, Ostreida, Ostreidae.
CGAUGGUACUGAAAACAAUUAACGUUUAUGACGUCAUAGUACUGCUACGAUGCCGCUCCAUGCCAAAUCAAACAAAUCAAUGAAGUUCUCGAUACUUGGGUACCAGUUAUAUGUUUUAUUGAAAUCUAAUAAAGUGGCACACGAAAGGCUUGACUAACAACUGUAAAACACUUUAUCCGAUCAAAACAAGGAGAGCACGGCGGUUGUGACUGGUCGACGGAGGACGUUUACUCCUACAUUAGACCUGAUUCCACUACUGAUGCUUUGAGACGCUCUGCUGUUGACUUGUAUUAUUACAUUUGUAUUGUUUCAAAUGACUUUGAGCUUGAUUACUGUUUGUUAUCUCCACGUUAAAAAAAUGGGUCCUUUGAAAGACAGACCGUCUUCUGGGGCAAGGUGUGCAUCAAUGUCUGUAAACUUAACUUUUUCUUACGGAAUACGGAGAUUAACAGAUCGUUCAGUUUCCGUCUAAAUGCUCUUCCAUUGAUUUGUAUUGUUUAUACGGACUUUUGAGAUGGAAAUUGUGUUCCUUAUCUUCAUUAUUUCAAACUGAAACUAUCGGUAUGACUGGGCUUAUGCAGUGUUUCAGGGACAAAAUUGUUUUCAAAUGGUAAUGAAAUCACUAUAAUCAUCAUGAAGAAUAAGUAUUUAAAUUUAAUUUAAAAAAUGAUAUAUUGAACAUAAAAUUAUUUUCUAAUGUUUUUAUUUUCUUGGUAGAAAGUUAUAAACAUGAGUAAUGCGCCAUAAACCCAGAAAACUUACCAAAAUUUACAAAAAAAAAAACAAUAUUAGACAGAGACAAAAUCCCCAGACAAACAUAACACUAACAUUAUUUUAAAAUUCUUUUACUUUUAAAUAUUCUACCUUUUUCUGAUUUUUUUUUCGUCUUAAGGAAAUUAUGAUAAAGAGCUGAAGAAUAGAGACACUGGAUAAAGACAGAAGCAAACUUAAAUACUUGGCUAAAAAAUGAAAAUAUGGUCAAAAACUAGAUAUCACGUAAGGGUUUUCAGUCUUAUUAAAUAAUAUCUGUUUUGUAGAAAUAAAGUAGGCAGAGUUUUCUUAAGAAAAAUUAUUUACUGCCAUAGUAUUUAUUUUGAUUUUUUAAAAAUUAUCUUUGAUAUACUAUUUGAUGAAAACAUGGACAAUAAAUUAUCUACUUUCGUAAACUUAUAUAAAUGAUUUAACCAGAAAAAAAAAUCAUUACCCCCCAAAAAAAUAUAUAUAUGAGAUUUGAUGGUUGAUUAGUUUUCGAUGGCUGAGGGAAAUUGAUGUACGUAUGUUUUUAUCUUUUUUUGACGUUGUACGCGUUUGACUUUAAAUUGUUUUGGAU